CGGAUUCAAAAUCCGCCGUUGAAUAAACGUGUCGGUUCGAGUCCGACCCUAGGCACCA
RNAcentral lists this transfer RNA (58 nucleotides) under Haemophilus influenzae. Its description in RNAcentral is "partial tRNA-Leu". The record is from RNAcentral. Lineage: Bacteria; Pseudomonadati; Pseudomonadota; Gammaproteobacteria; Pasteurellales; Pasteurellaceae.